AGACAAGGUUUAUUUUCAGUGUUCUUCAACUUUUAGGGACUACCCGGUAAAGGUAUUAUAAUCCCUCUAAAGUCUUGUUUUAUCAAGGUGUAUUUUAGGCAGGUCCAGCUGAGAGCUUUGCAUCCUGAGGCCUCACCUGCAUGGGUCAGUAGGAAAAAGGAAAGAAGGUGGAAACAGGAGGCCUGAAGUGAAGAGGUGCCUAACAGCUCACAUUUGUCAUUUGAAGAGAUUGAACUGGAAGAAGACUCCAGGGCACUGCCCUUCCAAUGCCAAGCAGUAAACCCAUCUACACUCUGUCAUCAUUAUAUGUAAACAUCAUUUAAUGAGUGCUUUCAUGGAAAAUCAUGUAAAGAAUAUGGAAGAAUUCUUUUUUCCUCUUAUGUUUUCACAGAAUAAUAAGCAUGAUGAAUAAGGCGCAAAUGUAUUGUAGAGAGCUGGAAGAGCCUCAGACACCAGGUUAUACCUAUCACCUCAGCAGCUUAUGACUUUACCUAUCGUGUA
RNAcentral lists this long non-coding RNA (501 nucleotides) under Macaca mulatta (Rhesus monkey). RNAcentral describes it as "lncRNA (ENSMMUG00000050307.1)". Lineage: Eukaryota; Metazoa; Chordata; Mammalia; Primates; Cercopithecidae. The record is from RNAcentral.